UCCGGCCUCCCUCCUUCCCGGGUUCCCAGGGCCGCCCAGCUCGGCCUCACCUUCCGGCCUCAGCACCCGCCUUAGGGCCUUACCUCCGAGCAGGAGCAGGUGGCCGCCGAGCCGGGACCGCCACCUCCUCUUCCCUGGGCUCGGGUCUCCGGACUUCUGCUGAGCUCAGAACCCCGCGCAGCUGAGAAACUGAGGCUCGCAGGCCUCAGCACGCCUGAGGCUGGUGCGAGAGGGCCUGUGCUCUCCCGCGUUACUCUCCAGUACCCUCGGCUGGUCCCGGAUGGGACAGGGCGACAGCCACGCUGCCCUGUUCACGUAGCCCACGGGGCCGGGCACCUGCCGGCUGCCCCGGGACUCCUUCCACUUGCAGGGAGCGACACUGGAGGUCAAAGUCACAGACGAGUCCUGGGCAGAGGGAUGGGAGCUGGAACUCAAAGGAGCCCUCAGAACAAACUUUUGGACAGCUCUUCUGAUCAUUUCCUGCUGGCUAGAGAAUUUGAGGCAGGAACUCCCCACUGGAGGAACUGAAGGAUGAGACAGGAG
This 543-nucleotide long non-coding RNA is filed under the name Fukomys damarensis (Damara mole-rat). RNAcentral's name for it is "lncRNA (ENSFDAG00000028586.1)". The record is from RNAcentral. Lineage: Eukaryota; Metazoa; Chordata; Mammalia; Rodentia; Bathyergidae.